Long non-coding RNA from Actinia tenebrosa (Australian red waratah sea anemone), 1990 nucleotides. RefSeq lists it as uncharacterized. Lineage: Eukaryota; Metazoa; Cnidaria; Anthozoa; Actiniaria; Actiniidae. The record is from RefSeq and is a predicted model, not a curated record.
AGGAGAUCUGGAUAGAGAAAAACUGUGCCCGAGGUCUUGAAUAUACGUUUUCAACGUCAAGUGCACGGUUUUCUCCUAUUCGUAUGUACUUUAGGAAGGAGGGCGAAAUUAAAUCUCAACUCAAGCACGCAGGGCUACCGCCAAUCAUAUUCAAGACAGAGAGCGAGUCCUCAGUGUCAAGAAACCAAGCUUGGGCUACCUGUGAUCUUACAACUAAGACAUACCAUGGGCUUCCUGUGGUACUGAGCACGUGUACCCAUCAUGCUCCAGGGUCUCUUUGACAAGAAGAAACAAGAUGGCGGGUGGAGUGAAGCUUCGAAGUGUGGACACAAACUUCGACCAUUACACGGGUCUCUGAAAAGAAGAAACAAGAUGGCGUGUAGGGUGAAGCUUCAAGGUGUCGACACAAACUUCGACCAUUACACGUUGGAUCAUCAAGGAUAAGAAGGCUAGCUGAAUCUAUAAGUGUUAGUUUUAGAUGUUAUUUAGUUAAAUUGCACAAGCGAAAACAAUUUCCUUUGAAUUGAUUGAGCACCAGUGUAAUUUUACUAAAUACUUAUUCACCAAUUAUUGAGUGGAUUCUGGUUGAUAUUUGCCUCAAAUAUUGGCUGAUCUUCACUUUGUCUUUGGAGAAUAAUCUUUAAUUAUUAAAUAUAUCUACAUAUAAUGCUUUGUUGUAUGUAGAUUUGUUUUCACCACUUUAAGAAUAAGAACUCAAACUAUCAAAGGUUGUGCAAGCUUUUCGUUACAAAUGAAAAGUGACCACAUCUUUUGAAUUUUCUUACAAUUUACUAAAUGCUGGUAACUUAUGCACAUAUAAUGUCUCCUUUGGACCUGAUGACUGGCUGGCUUGGAUUGACUCUACAUAUUAUGAUAUAUAUUUGAUUGAUGUAUGAUUUUGAUUGUCUUUUAUUGCAUUUGACUAAUAUUUUUUGAUCUUUAUUUGUCUCACUUUGAAUGAUUCAUUUUACAUUUGAUUAUUGAUGUACCAGAAAAAGUUUCUUUCAAAAUUUUGUAUAUUCUAUUCAAACUACUUCUAAAUUUUUUUUCCCAGAGACAAGCAAUAAUUUAAGAUACAUUUUUAAGUAUUUUGAAUUUGAGUUAGAAUAUUUUCAUUGCUCUAAGUCCUUUGCUUUAAUUUUUUUCCAUCCUUCUUUUUGCUUUUGAAUCAGAUUUGGCAAAUUCCAAGAAUCCGAAAUUUGGAAAUAAGCUUUUUCCUCAACAAUUUCUUUGUUUGACAUGUUUACAGUUUGUACAGUAUUCUCACGCUGUACUAAAAAAUUCUGUGAUUCUAAAUGUCUUUUUUUUUAAUUAAAGGAAAAAACAAUCUCUUUUUAUCUUUUCAUUUGGUUCAUUGAUUUUAGUCAUUCUGCAACCAUAGUAAGUGAGAGGAUACUGUAUACAUCAUGAUGAUUGUUAUUCUCAUUGWUGCAUUUGAUGAUACAGUAGAACCCCACUAUCUUKUCCUUGUUAUCGUUACUCAAUGAUCAAGAGAAUCAAAAAAAGGUUUUCGUACCUUUACAUACUCUUAUAAAUUGUAUUUCCUGAUUUUCAUGUUGCGACUGUUCUCUCAAUCAGCUUGUAGCAACUAAGACAGUGAUAACCAAAUUCAUGAUCAAUCAGCUGCACUUGACAUUUUUAAAUGUUAUUAUUGGCUUUCAAUUUAUCCUUUGARCAUAUUAGAUGAGAUAGUGUGGUUCUACUUUCUUUGAUUACCAUAUAUAAUGAUGCUUUAAUAAAGAUUUGCUUGCUACAUUCUGCACUCCUGGCUCACUCCCUUUAACACGGUAAGUCAAGUGCAUAAUUUACCAGCAUUAAGUCUUGUAUUUUUCCACCAAUGUCCUCUUUUAUCAUCCAAUUACUUUUCUGAAUCUCUUACAUUGCUAUUUAAAAAUAUGGUAGACCAUGUAUUUUGCUAUUGCAUUUAUUUCAAAUWACUCAGAGGAUGUUGGUUGGAAGGUGCAAUUUUCUAAAUUACUUUUCUCCGACA